AUACGGAGGACGCGAGCGUUAUCCGGAUUCAUUGGGUUUAAAGGGUGCGCAGGCGGCCGUGCAAGUCAGCGGUGAAAGCCCGGGGCUCAACCCCGGAAGUGCCGUUGAUACUGCAUGGCUGGAAUGCGGUCGAGGCGGGCGGAACGUGGCGUGUAGCGGGGGAAUGCGUAGAUAUGCCACAGAACGCCGAUAGCGGAGGCAGCGGGCCAGGCCUGAAUUGACGCUCGGGCACGAAAGCGUGGGGAUCGAACAGGAUUAGAUACCCUGGUAGUCCACGCCGUAAACGAUGGGCGCUCGUCGUCGGCGGCAGACAGUCGGCGGCCAAGCGAAAGCGAUAAGCGCCCCACCUGGGGAGUACGGUCGCAAGGCUGAAACUCAAAUGAAUUGACGGGG
This 393-nucleotide ribosomal RNA is filed under the name uncultured bacterium. RNAcentral describes it as "partial 16S ribosomal RNA". It matches the Rfam family "Bacterial small subunit ribosomal RNA", at positions 523 to 918 of the family's 1533-position model. The record is from RNAcentral.